GGCCCAGGAAUUUCUGGAGGUAGUGCCAUUUCAGAUCUUCCAUAGCUUUCAGGUGUAUGUUGCGAUGGUGGUAGGGGCCGAGCGACACCAUCUUAGGCUCAUAUGCCUUCGGAUUUACCUCUUGAAAGAUUCUAGGGACUUUGGAGAUGGUCGGCCCAUCGGUGCACCAACCCUCCCAUUUUGUUUCGGCUACCCUCGUCUUCAACGAGCUUAACCAUUCCUCAUUUGUAAUUAUCUCGAUCUUCUCCUCUGCAAUGCUCAUCUUCAGCUUCUUUUUAUUUUUGUUCUUGCUUUUCUGGUGUCUCCCCCAACCUUAACGUACACUAAGGUUCUCGGAGGAAACGAAGGAAGGAAUCCAGAGAAUUAUUGCUCGACGAAUGUGAGAACACAAUAGUCGACCUAUUUCUCCUUAGGAACGCUAGCUUAAUUCAAAUUCGGUUUCUGUCAUGAACAGAUAUAAAACGAAUAGUAUAAACAAAUUCACUAGCCCUUGUUCACAGUAUAAUCAUAAAAACUAUAAUUAUAUUAUUAUAUAAAAAAAUUAAUAAUAAAAAAUAAAAUCAAAUAAUAAUAGAUCAAAUAUACUAUGCGUACAUUUUGAUAUUAUUAAAAAAAAAACCUUUAUCUAAUUUGUUGGCGUACUGUUGUCAGAUUUGAAAGUUGUGACAAUGUCAAUACACAAGAAAACUAGUCUUGCUUUUUCAUCUUUUUCUAUCAUUCAUAGGAUAACCAUUAAUAAUUAGUGAUGGAUUAUGGACUAAGGAAAGACGAGUGAAAAUCUAUAAUUUUUCAAUAAUAAAUCAUAUCGUGUUGUCUCUAGGAGAUCUUAUCUAUUUAUAUAUGAGAAUAGAAAAUCUAAAAUAAGUAAUGAGGAGAGCCUCUCCCAUCAAGUUCAUCUUAUCAUAAUUAGAUUUUUUUUAUUAACUGAUAAUCGUAAUCAGAAUCCAAUCAGAUCUAUAAUAUAUCUUACCUAAUUAGAUAUGACCACAUAAUCUAACAUAGAGUAUAUAUAUGAUGAUAAAAAUUAGCGAAUUUUGUUCAUCUCAACAGUUUGAUCAUUUUACAAUGACUAUAACUUUUAAUAAUAUUACGCCAAAACUAUAUUUAGAUACCAUCCUUUGUCCCAUGAAACAUAUUAUUAGGACCGAUGGAUGAUAAGCAAAAGAGCACUUUUAGUAAUCACUAUACCAGAUAGAAGAUUUAAAAUCAAGUGGAAUCACAUAGAUUAAUAAUUAAAAAAUAUACUUAAUAGUCGACAUAAUAUUUAUGAUAUUCAACAUUCUUUAUCCAUAUUUAUGGAGAAAACUAAUGUAUUAUUGUAUUAUCAACAUUAGAAAUUGAUUUCAUAAUAUAAUUUGAGAUUACUAGUCAAACUUUAUGACUAUGAAAUUUUAUCUCAGAACUUGGUAUAAUUAUAUUCAAUUGUCAAGUUGCUAAAGAUAUUUUGUGACAUACUAUACUAAUUUUUUUCUCUAAAAAUGAUAAAUACUUUAACAGUCUUAAGCAUAUUAGCAUAAAAUACUUGAUAGUUAAAGAAAAAGUUUAAAAACUAGUGUCAAUUGAUAUUUUAAGUUUCACUAUAUUGAUUGAUGAUCCAUUUACUAAGAUUUUAUAGUUUAAGAUUAAAGAAUAUAUUCUUAGAAUGAGGCUUGUAAGCAAUAAAAAAAGAUAUGAUGAUGCAUUUUAAGUAGAUAUUAUUAUUACUAUUUUCUUUUUGUUACUUAAAUUUAUUUGUUCUACUAUCCUGUUUAUAUUUAUGUAUAUAUAUAUUAUGGUUGAAUGUGAUAAUAAAAUUGUCUUGACGAGAUAAAUUAUAAAGAUCAUUAUGAAUUGUAUUAGGAAAGAUUAAUAAUACUAUAGUAUAUAAAAAAGAGUAUAACAUUGAUGAUAUAUGGUCACUAUGACUUGCAUUGAUAGUCAAACUUGAUAUGAUAUUAUGUUUAUUAGGCAUAUUAGUAUGUUUUAUAAAGUUCGCGCACUCAUAUAAAAUCUUUUUGAAAAUUUUAGCAUCCAAUUGGGUAAUAUUAAUUUUAAAUAAAUUUUAUUUUAUUUUAUUUUAGUUUAUUUUUUUAUUUUAUAUCUUAUCAAUUAAUGGGUCAAAUAAAAGAAUGUUAGAUUAUAUGACUUUAUUUAAUUAGUUAAGAUAUAUUAAAGUUUUAAUUGGAUUCUAAUCAAGAUUAUAGACAAGAAAUUCAUUUAUGUUAGGCUUCCUCGAGAGAUAAUGUUGAUGAGAGAAACUCUCCUAAUUAUCUAUUCUAUAUGUUUUGCUCUCACUUAUAUAUAGAGAAGCUCCUAGAGAUUAUAUUAUACAUCAUAUGGAUUAGAUUAUAGAUCAUAUAUCUAUUUUAAUCUUCUUAUAAAUCCUUAUCUAUGGAAGAUAGGAAGAAAAGAGAAUGAAAAUCUAGUUUCUAGAUUUUCCUUCCUAUUAGUGCUAUUGUUAUAUGAAUCUAACUAUAGUGAGUUGCUAGAUCAAAUUAAAGUAUUCUAUCAUAUGGAAAGGUAUGUUGAUCUAAUCUCUAAAUUAUGUUAUUUGAUUUUGAUCUUGACAUUAUGUUAGUCCAUAUAAUUAUAUUUUUUAUGCUUACAUGGAAUUAAAAAAAACUAAAAUGCUGAUUAAAACAUAAUCAAGUAAAUAAGAAAUGUUUGCAUGUAGAGAAAAAGCUAAGAUAGAGAUGUGACACAAAAAAAAAAAGAAAGAAAGGUGUUAAUAGUUAACUCGGAGAAAAGACAUGUUUGCAUCUAAAACUAAGACCUUUUUCUCUGUUUUGCUUACCGUGAAUCAUAUGUGCUAGGGGAGGUGGGGGUGUGUGGUUGGUGUUGGCGGCGGUGGAUGUUGGGGAGUCCGGGGAUGGUGAAGACAUCGACACAUUACCGUGAAUCAGAUUUAUACAGUUGACAGUUUUCUUGUGCGAGGGGCCACCCAAGGAGACAUCCCACAUACUAAGCCACACUUUUGUCUAUCAAAAGACUCGACUUUUGUACCACUUUAUAAUAAUUUAUAUAUUAUAAAUUAUGUCCAAAUUGACAUAAUUUAUAAUAUAUAAUAUAAUCAUAUAAAUAUAUAAGUUGCUUCUUUGUGUUAUAUAGACUAGAUUAGCAUAUCGUUAUCAAUUGGCAUUUAGUCGGGUAUUAACUAGAAACAAACUUUAGAGAAUAUAUGGAUUCAAUAAUGAUAAUUAAGCUGCUUCCAUCCCACUCAAUGGAUCGACCAACUUUAUCCUGUCCUCGGCCUUAGCAUGUCGAAUUAAUAGGUUGCUUCUACUAUGAAAAAGGAAAAGGGAAAAAGAAAAAGAAACGCAACAACUCUCACAAACUUUGGAAUGCCGAAGUUAUAAGCUAAUAUAUUCCAUUUAUUUUCCCAGGAAUUGUAAGCCUUGUGUGGCUCACUUAUAAUUUAAAGUGCAGAUCCACAUGACAGUGGGAAGACAAUUAAAAUGCUACAUCGUCUCGUGUUCAAUCUCAUGCAGCGACAUCUCCUCUAUGCCACCCGUAUCAGUUGGAAUGAAAUCCCAUUUCAUGCUGAAAAAGAAUAUUUUUACAAAAUUGUAUGAAAAGAUGGGAUAAUUAUUUGUACGAUUUUGAUGAAAAGAAGUUACUAUUUGAUCUUUUUCCUAAUUGCGCUUCUGAUAAAAAAAAAGUAUGAUUAGUUGCUGCUUCCUUUGCCAUAAUUAAGAAACUAAUUUGCGUUUCCGUUCAUAUGAGCAGCUUGAACACGGUUGGGAAUUAGUAUGAGAUGAGCCCUGCAGAGGAUUGUAAUGUGUAGAUGAUUAGGAGACUCAUUGAGCGAGAUUAUUUAUACAUGGAAGAGAAAUAGUGGGCAGGAGUUGUUUUAUUGUUAUUCUUUUCGUGGUCAAGACUUUCUUUGGAUAAUGAUAAGCUUAAGAAAUGAGAUUUGCAUAAAAUGUGCAAUGCCUAAAGAAGAGGCCAUUCUCGUUAAUAACCGCACCGCACCGAUGGCUCUGCUAGUUUGUAUUUUCUUAAUGCAAUAAAUAUAUGUUUGGUAAUCUUCAUUUGUUUGCUUAAUGCAAUAAAUAUAUGUGUUUGAUAACCUCCAUUUGUUUCCUUAAUGCAAUAAAUGAAGUUGUCGGGUAGUUUCUGCAUCGCUCGAAUGUAUGCAAAUACUUUUGCUACCUGCAACUAUAUUAUUGCAUUUUAUUAGGUAAUUAAAAUUUGUGUAACGUGCAGAUCAUCAUUAAUUAUUUUUUAAAGAAUAAAUUCUCUGAUACCGUGUUGAAAUUGUUUUUGGAUAGGUGAUCAUCAUAAGAAAAUCAUAAAUAUAGAGGAACUAUAUCAACGAGAAAAGUAUAGACACUUCUAAACUAUAAACUCUUGUUAAUCAUAAGAACUUAUAAUCUUUUAAAACCCUAAAUUUCUCCAUCUUUCCUUACUCUACCACGUCUUUCCAUUUUCUUAUUGUUUCUAAAGCAUUNNNNNNNNNNNNNNNNNNNNACAUUAACUUUUGAAAACAUUAUAUUAGUUCUCCAUUUAUAGAGGAUCAAUUUACUACCUUAAACAAUGACUCAUAUUUUAUGUAAAACUUUUAAAUUAUUUUUUUUCUUUAAUUAUAAAAUUUAAGUUAUUAAUAUGCUUUCUUAAAAUAAAUUUUAUAAAAAAUUAUUAUGAAAAGUUUUAAAAAUUAUUAUAGUGUUAUCUUUGAUUUGAUUUUUGAGUCAUGCAAUCCACAAUAACAUUCGAUUUGUAUUUGAUUUGUUGUAAUUACCUUAAUCGGAUUUGUCAUAUCUACUAGUAACUAUUAUUAUAUUUUUAUUAAAUAAAAUUAGAUAAAUUAUUAAAAAACUAGAUAAUUUAUAUUUUGUUAGGUAAAUUAUCGUAUUUUGUAAUAUUCUCAUAUGACUCAUAGUCAAAUAGAUCUACAUGUCCAUCAUUUAGUAAUUUUUAGAUUCUUCCUUAGUGGAUGUGACUCAACCUACAAUACUAUAAGUAUAUAUUAUUCUAUCUCGUUUUCUCUUGGACAUACUUAUAUUCAUAAUAUGUAAAGCAAUGUCGAGCACAAAUACAUUAUUAUAUAAUAUUUAUCCCGUGAUGAUCUUAUCAUCAAAUAUUAUUGAAUAAUUAUUAUUUUUAAAAACUAAUUUAUAUCCACUAACUAUCAAACAUGAAAUAUAAAUAAUAUUUUUAAUAAUAAUAAAAAUAAAAUAACAUGUAUCCAAUGCAAUAGUAGCUUCACCAAGCAGAUGUAGGGUAACCUUGCCAACAGUCACUAUAACGAUUUUUGCUAUAUUGUCCUCCAUCUUGCCUCUUGUCAAUGUCUCAGAACUUAAAGCACUAUCGAUAUCUAAUAUUUAUGUGUCAUCGUAAGAGUUUUGAUAAAUUGAAAUUGAUCAUGAAUAUACUUAAGACUUCUUUAAGCUUCUGUUUUACCUUAUCUACAAGGUACUUUUUAUAGUUCAACUUCUAGUGUAUGUCUUUACUAUAGUAGAAACACUUGCCCUCGCUCCUUGUUGGGUCAUUUUUAGUAAUUUUUGCUUUGCUCGAUUUGUCUUUAUUGUCGUAAUUCUACUAUGAUUCAUUCAAAAUUUUAAGCAGGAUUUGAUAAUAUGAUACUGUAUAGAAAUAUGCGUAUAUUCUGCAAAUAUCAACGACUGAAUACACACACUAUGUUGACUUGUAUUUGCAAAUGCAGAUUCACAUGUUUGAUGAUCUAAAUUUCUAAGUAUGACCGACGAUUGAUGCGAGAAUCUACAGAAAAGUGAAGAACAAUUAUGAUGAAGUAAUCAUAGGUGACAUCCUGGCAUUCAUUUUCAAUUGCAUUUUGUGAUCAUAUAGCCAAUUUAAUUGUCCUACAAAAUACAUAACUCAGACGCAGGUAAGCAAAAGGAAUGCUUUUGAGCAAUCUCAUACAAACUACUAAGCAAACCCUUUAUUGCUUGCAAUAAAAAAUUACAGUACAGCAUCCAGAGAAUCAUACGGUACCAGUAAGAUUUCAAACCAUACAGGAAGAGGCAAAAGAUAAUAAUAAUAAUAAUACGGAGACUAAUUUGGCGGUCGAACAUAGCUCAGAGCAGAAUAGAUGGUCUGCGUUAUGGUGAGAACGAAGAGCAAGAUAGCUGCAAACACCGAGAUGACCGCCCAAGGAUUACUGAAGUAAUCAUGAUUAAGCCUCGCUCGCCAUUGGUUGCAUUGGUUGGUCCAGUGCUCGUUGACAUCUUUGUAGAUGCCUGAAACAUAACUUUUAUCGUAGUCUAACGUCACCUCCUUGCAAAGUUUGUUGAAGAGAUUAGCUACUUGCUUGCCGUCGCCCAAACCGCUAAGGAUGAUCCCAUGUUGCUGGAGCAACGCGACGUCGGCGGCGGUGUUGAUGAUGCAAUCCAUGAGAGCCGCGUAGGCCGUGACAUGAAGACUGACAUUCUUGGAGCACUGCUCGAAUGCUAUGAGGUUCCUGAGGAAGGUCUCGGUGUCGUCAUCUACCUGAAGUAAGGGAAUCCCCAUCUCACCGUUCUGAAAGGUGAUGUCCAAGAAGUUCGUGGCCUCCUUCUUCUUAAAAUGUACUCCAGCCUCCAUCAGCUGCGUCGCACUUGGAAUCCAUUUCAGCAGGGAAGUUGUGUGGUAAUCUUCUCGAGAGCGACGUAAGUUGUUCCUGUUAGGCUUGUGGCAGAGGGAUGUGGAAGGUUUACCGCCAUCUCGUUUCUUGUAUGGGUCAAUGUAAUAAUGCCAAAGAUGAAGUAUAUGAUGAAUUUUCUUAAUGCCGAUAUUGGGGGGAUUCUCAAUCUUGCUUUUCACGAAAUUGCUGACGAAUUUGAGUGUCCAAUUUUCUAGGGGAUCAGCUGAUUCAGGAAAAGCCGAUUUGAACAGUGUCUGGAGGAGAAGGAAAGGAAGCUGGUUUUCCAGCAUCAGCAUGUCUCGCACGACCACUGGUAGAGUGUACUGUGUACUUGUAAUUGGAUUAUGCACAGCUUCUGUUCCUUUCCCAUCCGUUCGAAGCUGCUUUUCCGACAUCGUCAUCUGUCGCGCGGCCAAGGAAUGCAUCGGUCGCGCAGUGCUCGCGACCACGGAAUGCAUCGGUCGCGCAGUGCGGAACCAUGACCGCGUACAUCUAAUUUGUUUAUCUACUGUUUUUUCUUCUUCUUGUUUUUCCACAUUCGAGUGUAUGAUCUCAAUCACGAAACAGCAGUCAAGCAGCAUCAUCUGAACGAACUCAUCACUAGUCAUGUCCACUUUUUCUGAAUAGGCCAUACGUGCCUUGUCCUCUCUUUCCCUGAUCUGCUCGAUGUAGUCUUCCAGAGACAUGCGGGGGUUUCGGCCCAGGAAUUUCUUGAGGUAGUGCCAUUUCAGAUCUUCCAUAGCUUUCAGGUGAAUGUUGCCAUGGUGGUAGGGGCCGAGCGACACCAUCUUAGGCUCAUAUGCCUUCGGAUCUGCCUCUUGAAAGAUUCUAGGGACUUUGAAGAUGGUCGGCCCAUCGGUGCGUCAACCCUCCCAUUUUGUUUCGUCUACCCUCUUCUUCAACGAGCUUAACCAUUCCUCAUUUGUAAUUAUCUCGCUCUUCUCCUCUGCAUUACUCA
RNAcentral lists this long non-coding RNA (7520 nucleotides) under Musa acuminata (dwarf banana). RNAcentral describes it as "long non-coding RNA (MACU_LNC001699)". Lineage: Eukaryota; Viridiplantae; Streptophyta; Magnoliopsida; Zingiberales; Musaceae. The record is from RNAcentral.